This 374-nucleotide ribosomal RNA is filed under the name uncultured organism. RNAcentral describes it as "partial 16S ribosomal RNA". It matches the Rfam family "Bacterial small subunit ribosomal RNA", at positions 527 to 896 of the family's 1533-position model. The record is from RNAcentral.
GUAGGUGGCAAGCGUUGUCCGGAAUUAUUGGGGCGUAAAGCGCGCGCAGGCGGUCCUUCAAGUCUGAUGUGAAAGCCCACGGGCUCAACCGUGGAGGGUCAUUGGAAACUGGGGGACUUGAGUACAGAAGAGGAAAGCGGAAUUCCACGUGUAGCGGUGAAAUGCGUAGAGAUGUGGAGGAACACCAGUGGCGAAGGCGGCUUUCUGGUCUGUAACUGACGCUGAGGCGCGAAAGCGUGGGGAGCAAACAGGAUUAGAUACCCUGGUAGUCCACGCCGUAAACGAUGAGUGCUAAGUGUUAGGGGGUUUCCGCCCCUUAGUGCUGCAGCUAACGCAUUAAGCACUCCGCCUGGGGAGUACGGCCGCAAAGGCUG